GAGUUUGAUCCUGGCUCAGGAUGAACGCUGGCGGCGUGCCUAAUACAUGCAAGUCGAGCGAACAGACGAGGAGCUUGCUCCUCUGACGUUAGCGGCGGACGGGUGAGUAACACGUGGAUAACCUACCUAUAAGACUGGGAUAACUUCGGGAAACCGGAGCUAAUACCGAAUAAUAUAUUGAACCGCAUGGUUCAAUAGUGAAAAACGGUUUUGCUGUCACUUAUAGAUGGAUCCGCGCCGCAUUAGCUAGUUGGUAGGGUAACGGCUUACCAAGGCGACGAUGCGUAGCCGACCUGAGAGGGUGAUCGGCCACACUGGAACUGAGACACGGUCCAGACUCCUACGGGAGGCAGCAGUAGGGAAUCUUCCGCAAUGGGCGAAAGCCUGACGGAGCAACGCCGCGUGAGUGAUGAAGGUCUUCGGAUCGUAAAACUCUGUUAUUAGGGAAGACAAAUGUGUAAGUAACUAUGCACGUCUUGACGGUACCUAAUCAGAAAGCCACGGCUAACUACGUGCCAGCA
Molecule: ribosomal RNA, 521 nt
Filed under: uncultured microorganism
Description: bacterial SSU rRNA
Rfam family: Bacterial small subunit ribosomal RNA
Source: RNAcentral